This 141-nucleotide ribosomal RNA is filed under the name uncultured eukaryote. RNAcentral's name for it is "partial 18S ribosomal RNA". It matches the Rfam family "Eukaryotic small subunit ribosomal RNA", at positions 1299 to 1458 of the family's 1831-position model. The record is from RNAcentral.
UGGUGGAGUGAUUUGUCUGGUUAAUUCCGAUAACGAACGAGACCCCGUCCUACUUACUAGACCGAGGAUCCUCUCGUUCUCGCUGUCUUCUUAGAGGGACAACUACUUAUACCUUGAACUACAUGAAAUGGGGCAAUAACA